AGUGGUAAAUUGGGAGAUCACGUUAUGGGAAAUGCUCUUGAAUUGACAUUUUAAUCCAGGAAGAUAUCAGUUGAGAAGUAAACUCAGAAACUAUGAUGGGACAAUGAAUGGCUCAAAGCCUGCCAGAAGUUGGAAUGGAAUGUAUCUAGAGCACAAGAGCCAAGUGUUUCUCUGUCUUCUCUCCAGAGAGAGUUUGAGAAUUGGCUCCUGUGAUUGCAGAGGCUGUUCUGGAGACGGGAAGUCCAAGAUCAAGGCCUCAGCAGAUCUGAUGUCUGGUAAGGAC
Saimiri boliviensis boliviensis (Bolivian squirrel monkey) is the source of this 283-nucleotide non-coding RNA. The record is from RefSeq and is a predicted model, not a curated record. NCBI's taxonomy places the organism in Eukaryota, Metazoa, Chordata, Mammalia, Primates, Cebidae.